Molecule: long non-coding RNA, 251 nt
Filed under: Lathyrus oleraceus (garden pea)
Lineage: Eukaryota; Viridiplantae; Streptophyta; Magnoliopsida; Fabales; Fabaceae
Description: Pisum sativum (pea) long non-coding RNA (PSAT_LNC032622)
Source: RNAcentral
AUGUUGUUAAGAAGGUUUUCUCUGGUGGAGCCUUGAUGCUUACAACUAUGGAUGGUGAAGAUUUUCCGUCCCCUGUGAACUCAGAUGUAGUCAAAAAAUACUUCGCAUAAAUUGACCCGCUGGACGAGAUUUUCCGUCCCCUGUGAACUCAGAUGUAGUCAAAAAAUACUUCGCAUAAAUUGACCCGCUGGACGAAAAGAAUAAAAGAGUCCAGGCAAAAAAGGGCAUCCCGGCGAACCAAGAAAAAAAAA